UCCCUGGUGGACUAGUGGUUAGGCCGCUGUGGCCCGGGUUCGAUUCCCGGCCAGGGAA
Molecule: transfer RNA, 58 nt
Filed under: Pangasius djambal
Lineage: Eukaryota; Metazoa; Chordata; Actinopteri; Siluriformes; Pangasiidae
Description: tRNA-OTHER
Source: RNAcentral